AAAUCAUAGCCUCAUAUAAGAGGUUACAGUGAU
Molecule: non-coding RNA, 33 nt
Filed under: Trypanosoma brucei brucei
Lineage: Eukaryota; Euglenozoa; Kinetoplastea; Trypanosomatida; Trypanosomatidae
Source: RNAcentral